RNAcentral lists this ribosomal RNA (813 nucleotides) under Triticum aestivum (bread wheat). Its description in RNAcentral is "partial small subunit ribosomal RNA". The record is from RNAcentral. Lineage: Eukaryota; Viridiplantae; Streptophyta; Magnoliopsida; Poales; Poaceae.
AUGUGUUUGUUCAAAGCCUUCCAUUCUAACAACCUUGACAUAGCCCGCCUGAACUAUGGGGUGAUUACACUUAUUCCAAAGAUGAAAGGGGCAAAGAAAAUACAGCAAUACCGCCCCAUAUGUCUCCUAAGAUGCCCUUAUAAGCUUAUCACCAAGGUUUUGGAUAAUCGGGUGGCGCUUUUUGCUGACAAGCUGAUUAGCAGACAUCAAAACGCGUUCAUUAAACACAGGAACAUCAUGGAUGGUAUCCUUACGUUGCAUGAAGUUCUACAUCACGCCCACCAGAAAAAGAAAGUCGGAGUGGUGCUGAAAUUAGACUUUGAAAAAGCCUAUGACAAGAUCGACUGGGAAUUCCUAUUGGAAUGUCAUCGAGGUCGAGGCUUUGGGACAACUUGGUGUGGUUGGAUUAAAAAAAUUCUUUACAACGACACUGUCAGUGUCAAAAUGAAUAAUGAAAAAGGCCCCUAUUUCCAAAGCCACAAGGGGGUGCGUCAAGGCGACCCCCACUCCCCCUUUCUAUUUAACCUGGCAGUUGAGACACUGUCAAAAAUGAUCCGCAACGCACAGAAAGAAAAACUUCUUACUGGAUUGGCUUCGGAUCUUAUCAAAGAUGGGGUAGCCAUCCUUCAAUAUGCAGAUGACACUGUCAUUUGCUUGGAGCACGAUAAAAAAGCUGCUGUUAACCUGAAGUUGUUACUUUAUAUCUUUGAACUCAUGUCUGGGCUUAAAAUCCAUUUCCUAAAGAGCGAAAUCCUUUGUGUUGGAGGGGAUGAUGAUAUUUUAACCUUCUAUGCAGAACUGUUUAAUUGUUAG